AGAGACUGUCCUUUUUCCUGCUUUGUUGAAUAUUAGUUGACCAUAGAGUUAAGUGCCCAUUUCUGGGUUCUCUAUUCUGUUCCAUUGAUCUAUGUGUCUGUUUUUGUGUGAUUGGCUUAAAUUUGCAUUAUUGCUCAUCCUUGGACCAAUUUUUAAUGGUAAAUUGGUUGGAAUUAUGUGAUUGGCUUAGACCAAUCUGUGUCCAUCUUUGGUCCAAGUCAGGUCAUAUUGUAUCCAACCACAAGUGCUACAAAAUAAGAAGAGAGGCAACCCAUGUUAAUAGAGUUAUGUAUCAGUGGCUCUGUGCAUGGCUUCAAAAUGGAUGGGUCAGACAAUAUCUCUCUUCCAGAGGAGCAUCUGAAGUGGGGUCUCCUCCCAAGAAGGAGCCUUGCUGCUUUCUCCUCCCUUCACCUGUCUUCUCCAGAGCAAAUCACGCUUCCCUGGGGAGGGCUGAAAAGAGCAUGGAUUUUAAGCAGUGUGGCCUUCAGCAAGUUGCUGUGAAUUUGCACUCCUGGGUGCCAGGACCUGCUUGCUCACCUCUGUCCCUGAGGCCUCUUGGCCACCCGUGCUUCUAGGCCACCCAGCAGUACUGGGCCGGAGUCCACACCAGCUGUUCUGGAUGCUUCGCUGAGUGCUUACUAACAUCAUCUCGCUUCACCCCCAUCAGGACCUUAUGAGCAAAUGGAGGCCUAAGAACAGUUGGAGAUUGGACAGGUCCGCAGAGUGACUUGUCUUAUCUGGAAAUAGGGCUUGAAGACAUGAAUCCAGCAUUCUAGAGGGCAUGGGCAGGUGGGUUGGGCUGCCCUGAUCACAGACUGUUGCCUAGAGGCUGUGAGAGAGGGCGGAGGUGCAUCUCAUGAAUGUCGUGGCUCACCGGUCAACCAGGCUUCACGUCUUUUUUUUUUUUUAAGACUUUAUUUAUUUAUUCAUGAGAGACAGACAGAGAGAGACAGAGACAGAGACAGAAACAGAGACAUAAGCAGGCUUCAUGCAGGGAGCCUGAUGCGGGACUCGAUCACAGAGUCCUGGGAUUAUGCCUUGAGCCAAAGGCAGACGCCCAACCACUGAGCCACCCAAGUGUCCCGAGGCUUCACCUCUUAAGUUGGGCCAUGCUGUUUCUGCUCAAGUCAUUAGAGUUAUCAGAAGUCCCAGUGGGCAUCCCUCUGCCUCUUCACUGCUGCUAGGCUGAGCAGAGUCAGGGAGGAAGCAUGAGGCUGCAGACACUGGAGGCUGGAGGCUAACUAUGAAGGCCGCCAGCAAACCAGCUCCAUGCCCAUACACACCGCCUUCUAGAACCCAGUUCACACGCAUUCCCUUCACCAUCUUAUUCUCUUCCUGAAUACUCUCAAGACCAUUGAUUGGAACAUGACCUCCUAGCUUUCUGGCAACUGCUCUUCAUCAUCCUCUGCCUGUCUUUCCUCUCCUACCCGCUUUGAAAGAUGGGCGCUCUUCAGGGAUCCCCCCAGGCUGUCUCUCAUCUCCUAUCUGUCCUGUCCCCCAGGGCCACCUCCUCUCCUGCAGGGUCUUCAGCUGUCAUCUGCAUACAUAGGACUCCCAGGCUUUUCCUUUAACCAUGACCCUUCCCUCGGCUCCAGAUCCCCGUGCUCAGUCCUGACCUGUCCACUUGUUGUCUCCCAGGCCCCAUCAAGUUCAACAUGUCCACAGUGGAAUUCAUCAUUUCUGCCCCAAACCUGGCCCCAACCCCAUCUGGUUCUCUAUUUCAUUCAGUAAAUUCCAUCUUCUUCCUCCUGCUUCUCAAGCUGCAGACCUUCCAUUUCUUCCCCCCCUCCUUCCAUGUCUAAUCAGCGUGGUAAAUUUUUCAUAAAAUUGUAUGUAUUCGAUCAAAACUACUAUCCUUCACCUUGAAAUUGUCUUUCAUGUCAGAAUGCCCUUUAAAUAAGCAAAGAAAUGUAGAAGAUGGUUGAUGGCAGUCGUUUUUGUCUGUUUGUCUGUUUUGAGUAUCAGUGAGGGCGACGCAGUUGAUAGCUACUGAAACCCAGGCCCCUUUCCCUUUUCCAUCUGGAUCCAGUUUUGUUCAGAGGUCCACCCCACCCCCCUCUUUAGAAGGUAAUUUUGAUGAGUCUAAGCCAGCAGUUCUCAAAGUGGGGCCAUGAGACCCUUCCAGGGCACCUCGGAGGUCAAAACUAUUUUUAGACUAAGCCAUUAUUUGCUUUUUUCACUUAUUCUUUUAUGAGUAUACACUGGAUUUUUCCAGAGGCUAACUGUCAUGUGAUCUUGCAACAGAUUGAAUGCAGAAGCAGAUAUGAGAAUCCAGCUGUCUUCUAUUAAACUAGAAAUUAAAGAGAUUUGCAAAAAUGUGGAACAACGCCAUACU
This is a long non-coding RNA of Canis lupus familiaris (dog), 2335 nucleotides long. RefSeq lists it as uncharacterized. The record is from RefSeq and is a predicted model, not a curated record. The transcript is spliced from 6 exons. Lineage: Eukaryota; Metazoa; Chordata; Mammalia; Carnivora; Canidae.